GUCCAGGUGGAGCUCCAGUCCCAGUCCCUUGUCUCCCCAGGCAGGAAGGAUCACUCCGUGAACAAGAUGUGUGCGUCCUCCUGUGACUUCGUCAAGCGGCACUUUUUCUCAGACUAUCUGAUGGGGUUCAUUAACUCUGGGAUCUUGAGAGUCGACGUGGAGUGCUGUGGGAAGGACUUGUGCAACCAGGCAGCCGCUGUGGGGUGCAGCCCCUGGGCCCUGGCUGGGGGGCUCCUGCUCAGCCUGGGGCCUGCCCUCCUCUGGGCUGGGCCCUGAGGUCCCUCCUUCCCGCAGGGUUCUGAGCUUGUUCCCCUGAGUCCGGCUGGCACUGCCUCACCCCAGGCUGGUCUGACCCAGGCGGGGACACCACUGGCCAGUACUGUGGUCUGUGGCUCUCACCUUCCCUAUGUGAGACCUCCUGCCUUUUCACCAGUUCAAUGUCCCAGGCAGCUGGAUUUCUCCAGGACACCUGGUGUCUGGGCAGGAGGCUGGGGACUGGGGUUGAGGGCAGGAGCUGGGACCCCAAGGUCCCCUAGGGGAAGUGAGGCCAAGCCAGGCACAGCCCAGAAGCCUGGCCUGAAGGGCAUCGUCUACAGAGAAAUAAAGUCACUUCUGAGUCCUGAGGCUCGGGUCUGAGCCUGGGUGUGAUGGGCGGGCAGGUCCUGGCGGAGAACAUGGAGGGGCU
Molecule: long non-coding RNA, 685 nt
Filed under: Marmota monax (woodchuck)
Lineage: Eukaryota; Metazoa; Chordata; Mammalia; Rodentia; Sciuridae
Source: RNAcentral